This is a non-coding RNA of Acanthosepion pharaonis, 113 nucleotides long. NCBI's taxonomy places the organism in Eukaryota, Metazoa, Mollusca, Cephalopoda, Sepiida, Sepiidae. The record is from the annotation of a GenBank genome assembly.
UUACGGCCACAUCACGUUGAAACACGGGUUCACAUACGAUCCCUAAAGUUAAGCAAUGUCGAGCCUAGUCAGUAGCUAUAUGGGAGGCCGUUUGGGAAUACUUGGUGCUGUAA